This is a small nuclear RNA of Hippopotamus amphibius kiboko, 104 nucleotides long. The record is from RefSeq and is a predicted model, not a curated record. Lineage: Eukaryota; Metazoa; Chordata; Mammalia; Artiodactyla; Hippopotamidae.
GUGCUCGUUUCAGCAGCACAUGUACUGAAAUUGGAAUGAUACAGAGAUCAGCACAGCCGAUGCGCAAGGGUGACACGCAAAUUUGUGAAUCACUCCAUAUUUUU